CUCAUGGCUUGCUUUUUAUUUCAUUAAUACUUCAUUGUCUCUGAAAAUGAACCUUUUGUGAAGCUCUUCUCCUAACUCUCCUUAUUCCUCUUUCACGAGGUGGCUGCUGUGCAAGGGAAGGAAUGGCAUGAAGUAAAUUACUCCAGUAUAAAGCAAUCUGCUUUGCCCAAGCGCCCAGUGGGCAGCACUGUCACUUUAAUAAUUCCAGGUCAAGGGAUUGCUUUCCUCGUUUUCAAUCCUCUCUUUUAAUACAUGGGAGGAUCAGAGGGACAUUAAAGUCCGUAAGGCUGGGUGGCUUGCAGAUAAUAAAAAUGAAAGUGUCUGCCCAGUGACUUCCGUUGGGUAAGAGGGUGAUACUUGAAGGCUCUUGUCUGGUGAGGAAAAAGGGAUCUUUUCAGUCUGCUGUGUAGUCACCUAAUACAUAGCUAGCAAAAUUAAUUCAAGAAGUGAAAGAGCUUAAAGAGGCGCUUUGGAUUGUUUUUGUCUUCCUCCUUAUUUGGAUUACGUGGGCGUUUUUGUCCUGCAAAUAAUAUGUUUUGGAGCAUGUACAGGUGGAGUAUUGAGACAGCUGCCUAGAGAUGGACUGUGCCUUAAUUGUAUUGCAUAAAAUCUUUUAAUUUUCAAACUUUGCUGCCAGAAGAGGAGUUAUAAUAAGGUUUUAUAUUGCCAAGGAACGUUUGCUCUUGUAUUUUUAUAGAGUCAAAUAUAUUUUAAAGAAAUUGAAAGCAUCUCUUUAAAAAGAAUCAAAAAGCUUUUCUUUCCCUCCCUUUUUUUUUCUUAUUUGUGGAGAACGUCACAAUUCCAAUCCAAGGGAACAGCAAGUAUUCAUAGAAAUGAAGAUUGAAGCUGCAUUUCCUUACUGAACUGUAAAAGAGUUCUGCAAUAGAUAGUCAGUUCCUGACCUUGCAGAGUGUUCCAGUAGUACUUCGUUAGUACCUGUAAAUAAGUGCUUGCAACCAGAUUCAGAAGUAGGAAGAAGAAUGCCAGUCAAGAAGAAAGAUACUGACCGAGCCUUAGUACUGCUGGAAGAAUAUUGCAAAAAACUGCGGAAGCCAGAAGAGCAACAACUGAAAAAAGCCAUCAGAAAGGUGAUGGGCAUCUUUAAGAGCAGCUUGUUUCAGGCACUUCUAGAUAUCUUCAAAAAGAAAGCAACGAGACAUGGAACUACCUCCCACACUUCACUGCCAGUGGCUCUUGCAUGUGAUGUCCUUGGAUGCCCAAAAGAUUAGCCAGUCUCUUCCAUCUGGCCCAUGUCACAAGGAUCAAUGACAUUUCUCCAUCUACAGACUUAAG
Molecule: long non-coding RNA, 1293 nt
Organism: Serinus canaria (Common canary)
Lineage: Eukaryota; Metazoa; Chordata; Aves; Passeriformes; Fringillidae
Source: Ensembl